GACGUAGGGCGCGAGCGUUGUCCGGAUUUACUGGGCGUAAAGGGCGCGUAGGCGGCGCUGUAAGUCACUUGUGAAAUCUCUGGGCUUAACUCGGAACGGUCAGCUGAUACUGCUUUGCUAGAGUGCAGAAGGGGCAAUCGGAAUUCUUGGUGUAGCGGUGAAAUGCGUAGAUAUCAAGAGGAACACCUGAGGUGAAGACGGGUUGCUGGGCUGACACUGACGCUGAGUGCGCGAAAGCUAGGGUAGCAAACGGG
This 254-nucleotide ribosomal RNA is filed under the name uncultured bacterium. RNAcentral describes it as "partial 16S ribosomal RNA". It matches the Rfam family "Bacterial small subunit ribosomal RNA", at positions 524 to 776 of the family's 1533-position model. The record is from RNAcentral.